Transfer RNA from Camelus ferus (Wild Bactrian camel), 73 nucleotides. It matches the Rfam family "tRNA". Rfam says of the family: Transfer RNA (tRNA) molecules are approximately 80 nucleotides in length. Their secondary structure includes four short double-helical elements and three loops (D, anti-codon, and T loops). The record is from Rfam. Lineage: Eukaryota; Metazoa; Chordata; Mammalia; Artiodactyla; Camelidae.
GAGGGUAUAGCUCAAGUGGUAGAGCGCAUGUUUAGCAUGCAUGAAGUCUUGGGUUCAAUCCCCAGUACCUCCU